Molecule: long non-coding RNA, 211 nt
Filed under: Musa acuminata (dwarf banana)
Lineage: Eukaryota; Viridiplantae; Streptophyta; Magnoliopsida; Zingiberales; Musaceae
Description: long non-coding RNA (MACU_LNC004731)
Source: RNAcentral
CCAUGAAUCAUAGUGACGAGCACUGUCAACUUUAUUGUAAGAGUUUGAGGGAAUCAAAUCAUGCUUUACAUGCCACUGCAGUCAAUAGCGUUGCUUUGGAAGGUAGCCAACUUUGAAGUACUUUUACACACCCCCACGGAAGAACAUUUGAUCAUAUCAAAUUCCUAGUUCGCAUUGUAAUAAAAUUUACCCUCUACAAUCUUCGACGAUC